Molecule: RNA transcript, 951 nt
Organism: Dioscorea cayenensis subsp. rotundata (Guinea yam)
Lineage: Eukaryota; Viridiplantae; Streptophyta; Magnoliopsida; Dioscoreales; Dioscoreaceae
Exons: 4
Source: RefSeq, a predicted model, not a curated record
AUGAAGUAUUGCACAACCCAACAUUGUCCAAGGAUCCUUAAAAAAUUAGAGAUAUACAAACAAAUGAGUACAUUCUACACACCAACUUGGUCAGGGGGGCCUAAAUAUCAGGUAGUAGGCCCUGAUGGGCAGUUUGUUGUUGAUAAAGAAGAAGGGAGAUGUUCUUGUAGGGUUUGGCAAUUAAAUGGACUGCCAUGUAGUCAUGCAGUAACAGUCAUAUAUUAUAACAAUGAGAGACCUGAAACCUAUAUCAAUCAAUGCUAUAGUGUGAGCACAUACUUAUCAACAUAUGGGCACACCUUAAACCCAACCCAUGGCAGGGAUCACUGGCCCAAGAGUGACCAAGGACCAAUGACACCACCAUUGGCAAUCAACAAGAAAAAAGGUAGGAGGACAAUGUUGAGAAGGAAAGAAUUUGGUGAAGAAGUGAGAGGCUUCACAAAUGGGAAGGUGAGCAAAAGAGGAGGCCAUGUUAGAUGUGGCUUAUGUGGUGACAAAGGCCACAAUAGAAGAUUUCAUACUAAACAUGCUAAUAGGGGUAAUACAACUGGGAGUCAAGCUGAGGUUGGCAUUGGGUAGGACAGACAUGGUGAUAAUGAAAAUGCAACUGCAGAGAUGAGCCAAACUCCAGUUGAAACAGUUGAAUUAAUUCAAUCAAGUCACCCACAUGGAUCACAAGAUCCUUUGUCACAGGUAAUUUCCACACCUGAGCUUCAUGGGAGGACAAUGGUUGAGGGUGACGACAGUCACAAAGAGAAAAAAUUGGCCACUAAAGGAGGUAAAGGGGCUGAAACUAGAGCUAGGUCAAGAGCCCAUCUGACUCACAGGGGUAAUGAUGGAGGGCCUUCAAAAAAAAAAUAGAGUUUGGCUUCCUUGAAAGGAAGGUUUUAUAUUUUUUGUCCUGGGAAAGUUUUGUAAUGGCAACACUUUAAUUAAUUCCUAGGUGUUUAU